This 275-nucleotide long non-coding RNA is filed under the name Elaeis guineensis (African oil palm). RNAcentral's name for it is "long non-coding RNA (EGUI_LNC040000)". Lineage: Eukaryota; Viridiplantae; Streptophyta; Magnoliopsida; Arecales; Arecaceae. The record is from RNAcentral.
GUGGAAGAUGGGAUGCCCAACCCUUGGGCAUUGGAUAUAGAGGAGGAAGAGAGGAUGGCAAGGAGAUGGGAGGAGAUGGAGAUCUGAAUUCUAAAUUCAAUUAUUUUGAAAUCCUAGGGGACCAUCUCUUGAAUAGACUUUUUCUUGACUUCAAUUCAAUCUCCAAUAAGUUUAAAAAGGCUAGUCCUUAUCUCAUAAGAUCUCUUACCUUUUAAUUUGAUUUUUUUUUCAAAAAAAAUCAGAUCCAAUUGAAAAGAUCCACACCUCAUAUGGCA